Styela clava is the source of this 1045-nucleotide non-coding RNA. Lineage: Eukaryota; Metazoa; Chordata; Ascidiacea; Stolidobranchia; Styelidae. The record is from RefSeq and is a predicted model, not a curated record.
AGCUGGAAAAAGGUACAACCCAGAUAGCACAACUACGUUGGGCCAACGUUAUAAUCCGCCGGCAACCGUUGUACGCGGUUUUACAACCAUUUACCAUGGUAAGGCCAUGAUUGGCCUUCAACGAAACACGCCAUUAUGCGAAGAAAUGGGCGCGCGAUUCGAAUAUAGCACAUGAGGUCGCCAUUCAUUUUGGCGGUACUCGUAAUCGAUAGCCUGUUACGAGGUUUUUGCCGUGUAGGCUAUGGGACAGUGACAUUGAACUUUUAAUGCUUUCAUAGUAGAAUGGCGAAAGUAGAGAUAGCCUAGUUGUAACCGUGUAAGUUAAUCUCAUGGUACCGGUACCCUAAGUGCGUUGUCAGGUCACGGUUCAUAAGGGUGAUAGGGUACCGUACCAUACCGGUAAAAGUUACAUAUUUAUCCCUGGACACCGUAGGUACCGGUAACGACAGAACGAGAUGAGGUCCGGUACCGUACUUGGUCUUUUGGCAUUUUUUUGUUAAACUUUCUUAGGUUGCCAUCUCUCAUUUACCAGUAUUCGUUAUCGAGUACCGGUACCUAUGGUACAUACCGGUAAAAGUUACAUAUUCAUCCCUGGACACCGUAGGUACCGGUAACGACAGAACGAGAUGAGGCCCUAUGACAAUGGACUGGAAAAUUCAACUGCUUCAAUUCCCUCUUUCACGCAAUCAUAUACUGUGUCAUUUCAAGCAUCUCAAUGUUUCAAUGCGGACAAUGCCCAAAACAGAGAUCAAGCCAUGCUCCAAUCCAGUCCAUGGAAAAAUUGUUGGGACAGGCGGUAGAAACUCUUAUGCUACAAGCUACAGCAUCUGCAACUUUCCACUGAUUAUAGUGUGGACUCGGACAUACAGGAAUUGAUGAAAUUCAUUGUCUGAUUACAUUUUGAUCCAGAAUACAUUCAAGGAUGAAAAAAUGGCUCCUCUGGAUGAUCUGGCAACGAACUCCGAUUAAUUUUAUUACAUGUAUACAUAUUUGUAAAAUAAAGACAUUUUGUUAUCUUUUGUUUUUUAUUAUAUAAAUAAUGUUA